ACCGGAGGAAGGUGGGGAUGACGUCAAGGUCCUCAUGGCCCUUAUGGUAGGGCUCACACGUCAUACAAUGGUCGGUACAGGAGGGUUGCCAACCCGCGAGGGGGAGCUAAUCCCACAAAGCCGAUCGUAGUCCGGAUCGCAGUCUGCAACUCGACUGCGUGAAGUCGGAAUCGCUAGUAAUCGUGGAUCAGCAUGUCACGGUGAAUACGUUCCCGGGUCUU
This 221-nucleotide ribosomal RNA is filed under the name uncultured Rhodocyclaceae bacterium. RNAcentral describes it as "partial 16S ribosomal RNA". It matches the Rfam family "Bacterial small subunit ribosomal RNA", at positions 1162 to 1382 of the family's 1533-position model. Lineage: Bacteria; Pseudomonadati; Pseudomonadota; Betaproteobacteria; Rhodocyclales; Rhodocyclaceae. The record is from RNAcentral.